This 45-nucleotide non-coding RNA is filed under the name Schistosoma curassoni. Lineage: Eukaryota; Metazoa; Platyhelminthes; Trematoda; Strigeidida; Schistosomatidae. The record is from RNAcentral.
GUUCGGCUGACGAGUCCCAAACAGGACGAAACACGCGUCCUGGAU